Molecule: unclassified non-coding RNA, 263 nt
Filed under: plant metagenome
Description: partial contains small subunit ribosomal RNA, internal transcribed spacer 1, and 5.8S ribosomal RNA
Source: RNAcentral
UUUCCGUAGGUGAACCGGCGGAAGGAUCAUUAUUGUAUAACCGAGGUGCGAGGGCUGUCGCUGACCCGAAAGGUCGUGCACGCCCGAGUGCCCUCACACACAUCCAUCUCACCCCUAUGUGCACCACCGCGUGGAUCCCCCUUUGGCUUGUUCGGAGGGGGGCUUACGUUUUCACACAAACUUUGUAUGCAGUGUAGAAUGUAUUUUUUGUUCUUGCGAUCACGCAAUCAAUACAACUUUCAACAACGGAUCUCUUGGCUCUC